UACGUAGGGUGCUAGCGUUGUUCGGAAUUACUGGGCGUAAAGCGCACGUAGGCGGCUUUGUAAGUUAGAGGUGAAAGCCCGGGGCUCAACUCCGGAAUUGCCUUUAAGACUGCAUCGCUAGAAUUGUGGAGAGGUAAGUGGAAUUCCGAGUGUAGAGGUGAAAUUCGUAGAUAUUCGGAAGAACACCAGUGGCGAAGGCGACUUACUGGACACAUAUUGACGCUGAGGUGCGAAAGCGUGGGGAGCGAACAGG
Molecule: ribosomal RNA, 253 nt
Filed under: uncultured bacterium
Lineage: Bacteria
Description: partial 16S ribosomal RNA
Rfam family: Bacterial small subunit ribosomal RNA
Source: RNAcentral